AAGUCCUAUAAAAGGCCUUACUUCUCCUCGUUCACCAAACCAUUCUUCUCCAUUCAUUAGGACAGACAUCCUGUGCUGGGAUUUCCCCAAAGCCAAAGAAAAUGUCUUGCCAGCAGUCUCAGCAAUUCAAGAAGCCUUCAACGUGCCUCUCAUCAUCCAGUAACAAUCCGUGCCAGCCUUCAGGAUGCUCUAAACCAUGGCCUUCUUCAGGAUGCUCAAAGCCAGGCCCAGCUCCAGGAUACUUGAAUCCAUGCCCAUCUUCUGGAUGCUCAAAGCCAGGCCUACCUACAGGAUGCUCCAAUCCAUGCCCUCCUCCAACAUGCCAAGGAUCAACUGGUAAUCCAUGCCAAGGAUCGUGGGGAAAUCCAUGCCAAAACCCAUCAGGCCAAGGCAGCGGACAUCACCACCAUUACCUCUAUCAUGACACCCAACAAACCAAGCCCUGCUAGCUUCCUUGGAAGAGUUGGCCAUCAAGAGAUGAAAGCAUGCCAAUAAAUUCUCAUGAGGUCAAUCUCUCAAUUUCAUUGCCCCUAGGUGUGUGCUCCUAUGUAUUAGCCACAUCCUUAUACUUAUUUAGAUCCACAUCCAAAGGGCUAUUUUAUGCCUUCCAAAGUGCUUAAAUGUAUAUGGGUUUUUAAUUUCUACUUCUCAACAACAAUCAAUGCCAUAAUCUCUUUUUCUCUUUGUCUUUCUAUUGGAAAAGUAAGUGAUCAUGCGAUGAAAGCAUUAUCAAUAAAUCUGUAUGAAGCUAA
This is a long non-coding RNA of Eublepharis macularius, 752 nucleotides long. RefSeq lists it as uncharacterized. The record is from RefSeq and is a predicted model, not a curated record. The transcript is spliced from 2 exons. Lineage: Eukaryota; Metazoa; Chordata; Lepidosauria; Squamata; Eublepharidae.